GACGAACGCUGGCGGCGUGCUUAACACAUGCGAGUCGAACGGAAAGGCCCUGCGUUUGUGGGGUGCUCGAGUGGCGAACGGGUGAGUAACACGUGAGUAACCUGCCCUUGACUUUGGGAUAACUUCAGGAAACUGGGGCUAAUACCGGAUAGGAGCUCCUGCUGCAUGGUGGGGGUUGGAAAGUUUCGGCGGUUGGGGAUGGACUCGCGGCUUAUCAGCUUGUUGGUGGGGUAGUGGCUUACCAAGGCUUUGACGGGUAGCCGGCCUGAGAGGGUGACCGGCCACAUUGGGACUGAGAUACGGCCCAGACUCCUACGGGAGGCAGCAGUGGGGAAUAUUGCACAAUGGGCGGAAGCCUGAUGCAGCAACGCCGCGUGCGGGAUGACGGCCUUCGGGUUGUAAACCGCUUUCGCCUGUGACGAAGCGUGAGUGACGGUAAUGGGUAAAGAAGCACCGGCUAACUACGUG
This 468-nucleotide ribosomal RNA is filed under the name uncultured bacterium. Its description in RNAcentral is "partial 16S ribosomal RNA". It matches the Rfam family "Bacterial small subunit ribosomal RNA", at positions 28 to 507 of the family's 1533-position model. The record is from RNAcentral.